UACAAGAUGUGAUUGAGGGUUGGCGACCAAAGGUUGAAGGUUGAUUUAUCUUCUAUACUCUGUCAUCAAGCUUCAGGUCGUAUCAUUACUUAGCUUGCCGUUUUGUUAUUUUACAAUCAUAUUACUCUAUUUCAGAUCGAAAUGUGUCAAGUUCUCAAUGAAUCCUGCAAUGUUGAUAUUGAAAUAUUUUGAUGUGCUUCCCUCAUCACAUUAGUUUGCACUAUGUAAAGCACAUCUUAAUUUUGUCCAACGGAUGCAAACACUGCAAUUAGCAGCGUUUGUUGAAAUUCGAAUUGCAGUUCUUGUAACAUUUCACAGAUCGAUAUGAUGUUGUAUUGUUUGUUUAUAUUAGUGAAAUAGUAUUAAAUUAAUAACUGGAUUGCUUUUCUGUUCUUUUGCAUAUAGAAAAGAAACACAUGCGUGCGACAUGUCUUUCUGUGAUUAUUAUUAUGGCAAUAUAGAUAUAUAAACAUAGUUCCUUAGUUUCCUACUUCAUGCAAUACACUUGAGGGCUCAGUUCCAUUGAUAAUCUCUCUUAUCCGGC
RNAcentral lists this long non-coding RNA (544 nucleotides) under Salvia miltiorrhiza (redroot sage). RNAcentral describes it as "long non-coding RNA (SMIL_LNC012059)". The record is from RNAcentral. Lineage: Eukaryota; Viridiplantae; Streptophyta; Magnoliopsida; Lamiales; Lamiaceae.